GCCCUUAUCUUCUGGUUAAAUUGGUUGCUGUUGCUGAAAGAAGAAUAUUAAGAUUUUUUUUCAGUUAUAAGGUGAAAACCAAAGUAAUCUCUAAAGGUUAUUCGGAUUAAUAAGUAGCCAGAGUUUCUUCAGAUCUGAUCCAAAUUUCUCUCUAGAGUUUAUUGAGAUUGAUAAGUAGCCAGAAUUUCUUCGGAUUGGGUCGGUUUAGAUUUCAUGUUAUUAGAAACCAUGACCAUCUAAUUCUAAUCAGGAAUAUGAGUCGGUUUCAUCAUCAGAUUUAAGUUUAAAGAUCAUGUUGAACACUCCAUGCAUGGUAGUCUUAUUUCAUCAUAGCUCAAAGACUCAGACUAAUAGUAGGGUCUUCUAUAUAUAUAUUAAUAUAUUAUACACUAUAUAGAUUUUACGUCUAAACCUCACUUCUUGUCAUUACUAACCAUUCUGUCUCAGUUUUGGUUCUUAAACUGGUCAUUCUAUUAUGGGAUAGAGGACUGAAUUAUUUAUCAUUGUAGUGAUUUCUAUACUAAACAAUUCAUUGGUCUAAUUAAGGUAUCUACCAACCAAUACCAAAUGACCAAUCUUGACAUGAUUCAGUUGUUGUAGUUAGGCCCGCUGCUAUGUAAUAAACCAUUCACAAUUGAAAAGAAUAAACAUCGAGAAUUUAUUCACAGGGCAUUCUAAAGUUGUGAAUAAAGAGAAUCUAAGUAUUUCUGCAUUUGAAACUUCAGAUCAUAAUCGUGACAAUGAGUAACAGAUCAUGUGUUUUACAAAAAAUUGGAAACCACUUCAAUGUCAGGAGAAUUUAUGAAGUGUAUCACAAUUGUAUCACUUACCACGGCCUUGGGGAGGUGGUGCUUCUGGUUCACCAUAGUUGCAACCACUGGAUUUUUUAUGCAUACCUUUACCACAAUCUCCUCUUCCACGUCCGCACAAAGUACAUCCUCUUCCAUGAACUCUAACUCUACCACUGUAGCACUGACCGUCACACAUAGAUAAUAAC
This 997-nucleotide long non-coding RNA is filed under the name Aquilegia coerulea. RNAcentral's name for it is "long non-coding RNA (ACOE_LNC000065)". Lineage: Eukaryota; Viridiplantae; Streptophyta; Magnoliopsida; Ranunculales; Ranunculaceae. The record is from RNAcentral.